UUUACGGAGAGUUUGAUCCUGGCUCAGGAUGAACGCUGGCGGCGUGCUUAACACAUGCAAGUCGAACGGUGAAGCCAAGCUUGCUUGGUGGAUCAGUGGCGAACGGGUGAGUAACACGUGAGCAACCUGCCCUGGACUCUGGGAUAAGCGCUGGAAACGGCGUCUAAUACUGGAUAUGAGCUCCUUCCGCAUGGUGGGGGUUGGAAAGAUUUUUCGGUCUGGGAUGGGCUCGCGGCCUAUCAGCUUGUUGGUGAGGUAAUGGCUCACCAAGGCGUCGACGGGUAGCCGGCCUGAGAGGGUGACCGGCCACACUGGGACUGAGACACGGCCCAGACUCCUACGGGAGGCAGCAGUGGGGAAUAUUGCACAAUGGGCGGAAGCCUGAUGCAGCAACGCCGCGUGAGGGAUGACGGCCUUCGGGUUGUAAACCUCUUUUAGCAGGGAAGAAGCGAAAGUGACGGUACCUGCAGAAAAAGCGCCGGCUAACUACGUGCCAGCAGCCGCGGUAAUACGUAGGGCGCAAGCGUUAUCCGGAAUUAUUGGGCGUAAAGAGCUCGUAGGCGGUUUGUCGCGUCUGCUGUGAAAUCCCGAGGCUCAACCUCGGGCCUGCAGUGGGUACGGGCAGACUAGAGUGCGGUAGGGGAGAUUGGAAUUCCUGGUGUAGCGGUGGAAUGCGCAGAUAUCAGGAGGAACACCGAUGGCGAAGGCAGAUCUCUGGGCCGUAACUGACGCUGAGGAGCGAAAGGGUGGGGAGCAAACAGGCUUAGAUACCCUGGUAGUCCACCCCGUAAACGUUGGGAACUAGUUGUGGGGACCAUUCCACGGUUUCCGUGACGCAGCUAACGCAUUAAGUUCCCCGCCUGGGGAGUACGGCCGCAAGGCUAAAACUCAAAGGAAUUGACGGGGACCCGCACAAGCGGCGGAGCAUGCGGAUUAAUUCGAUGCAACGCGAAGAACCUUACCAAGGCUUGACAUAUACGAGAACGGGCCAGAAAUGGUCAACUCUUUGGACACUCGUAAACAGGUGGUGCAUGGUUGUCGUCAGCUCGUGUCGUGAGAUGUUGGGUUAAGUCCCGCAACGAGCGCAACCCUCGUUCUAUGUUGCCAGCACGUAAUGGUGGGAACUCAUGGGAUACUGCCGGGGUCAACUCGGAGGAAGGUGGGGAUGACGUCAAAUCAUCAUGCCCCUUAUGUCUUGGGCUUCACGCAUGCUACAAUGGCCGGUACAAAGGGCUGCAAUACCGUAAGGUGGAGCGAAUCCCAAAAAGCCGGUCCCAGUUCGGAUUGAGGUCUGCAACUCGACCUCAUGAAGUCGGAGUCGCUAGUAAUCGCAGAUCAGCAACGCUGCGGUGAAUACGUUCCCGGGUCUUGUACACACCGCCCGUCAAGUCAUGAAAGUCGGUAACACCUGAAGCCGGUGGCCCAACCCUUGUGGAGGGAGCCGUCGAAGGUGGGAUCGGUAAUUAGGACUAAGUCGUAACAAGGUAGCCGUACCGGAAGGUGCGGCUGGAUCACCUCCUUUCUA
RNAcentral lists this ribosomal RNA (1525 nucleotides) under Microbacterium testaceum. RNAcentral's name for it is "bacterial SSU rRNA". It matches the Rfam family "Bacterial small subunit ribosomal RNA". Lineage: Bacteria; Bacillati; Actinomycetota; Actinomycetes; Micrococcales; Microbacteriaceae. The record is from RNAcentral.